UGCCUAGGAAGUUGCCCGGUAGAGGGGGAUAACCAUUGGAAACGAUGGCUAAUACCGCAUAAUCUCUAUGGAGCAAAGCAGGGGACCUUCGGGCCUUGUGCUACCGGAUACGCCUAGGUGGGAUUAGCUAGUUGGUGAGGUAAUGGCUCACCAAGGCGACGAUCCCUAGCUGGUCUGAGAGGAUGAUCAGCCACACUGGAACUGAGACACGGUCCAGACUCCUACGGGAGGCAGCAGUGGGGAAUAUUGCACAAUGGGCGAAAGCCUGAUGCAGCCAUGCCGCGUGUAUGAAGAAGGCCU
Molecule: ribosomal RNA, 300 nt
Filed under: uncultured Vibrio sp.
Lineage: Bacteria; Pseudomonadati; Pseudomonadota; Gammaproteobacteria; Vibrionales; Vibrionaceae
Description: bacterial SSU rRNA
Rfam family: Bacterial small subunit ribosomal RNA
Source: RNAcentral